CCAUCACCCCUUAUUCUAUAAACCCACACACCCCAACCUAAAGGGGACCUUCUUCUUGAACAACAAGAGACGAAAAUAAGAGUAACGCCGACAAUCUGAAAAAUGAAGGCCGAAAAAUCUGAACAGUAUAGAUGCGCCGAGGACAGCCGCAAUAGAAUCUGCACCCCACCGCUAUUCUUCUUCGACCAAACGACACCCCCUUGCUUCAUCUUCUCCAAAACUCAGGCAGCGAAAGCUAUCGAGACCACCACAGUUCGCCGGGAAUGGAGCAGAAACAGUGAAAAGCUCGCCGGAAUAACACAGUGAUCGACCACUCGAACCCACCAUCAGCUCCUCCUCUCAAAAACCAAGGAAUCACACACAAAUCAUCUGAUCGCCAAACUGUACACAACAGAGUCAAACAAACGGGAAAAGAAAGUGAAGAGAAAAAAAAACGAAUUGAAAAAUCUUUUUAAUUUUAGAUUUUGGGUCCGAAAAUGAAUUUUUCUUUAAGUGUUGGAACUGGAUUCAAAUCCGAUUGAUUGGAAUUGCUAUUUGGGGUUGGUUCAUUCGAGUACCAUCCGCGGUUCAUCAUAUUUUUGAGUUCAAACCGGUGAAGUAAUCAAUUUCCAUCUAUACCGAGGUUUAUUUCUUACUCUUCUCCUCAACUAUGUGUGUAUUUGCUGUUGUGUUGAUGAAUUGAAUCCAUAUGUGAUUGAGAUUAUACAUACAUUUGUCUGGUUGGAAUUUCUGUUGUUUCCCAUUUGAGAAUCAUUGUUGAAUCGUUUGAUUGUUAGUAAGCCCAGUUAAAAGAAAGAGUAAGGAAGUUGUAAUUUGAAAGCUUCCAAUCAAAAUGGGUUGUGGAUUGACAAACUUCCGAAAAGAAAUUUUGGUCAAGAUCAGUGAAAUGAAGUUGGGAUGUGGUGCUGGAAUAUAAGAAACAAAUUGAGAUUUGAAUGCUAUACAUUAAUUAUUUUAUUUUACUGAUUUAAUCGAUAGGAGAAUGCUUAGGCUGACCACACAUGAGUAGGCAAACUUUAGUAAUUAUUUUAUUUUACUGAUUUGAUCGAUAGGAGCAUGCUUAGGCCGACCACACUUGGGUAGGCAAACUUUAGAAUUUUUUUUAAUUUGAGGCUAGAGGUCGUUCCCGUAGUUAAAUUUAUUCGGGGAAUCCCUCGUGAAAUUUUUAUAUAUUAUUAUCCGGGGUAUGCCCCGAAGAACUAUGUAAAUAUGUUGGAGGCCUUGGCGACAUGGUGGAGAAGUCGUAGUAUUGGUUAGCUUAGGACUUUUCUCUUUAUUUCCUUUUAUUUAGGCGGGAACGACCUAGAGCCUCUAGUGUGUUUACUUUAUUUCUAUGUGUUUUACCUCAAUUUGAAUCCUUUAAAAGCCAACCUGAUCGAGUAUGCAACCGUGACCUUCACGGGACUUGGGGAGUGCCUCACACCUUCUCCCUGAGUCAAAUGAACCCCCUUACCCGAAUCUCUGGUGCGGACUUAGUUUUGAGUCCAAGUGUUUUCAACGGAAAAUAUUUUUUAAGAACCGGUGUCCUGGCACACCGAAAUCCAAUGUCAGGUGGCGACUCUGAGUUUAUUUCCUUUUGAACACCAUUUUGUCACUUUCAAAAUCGAAAACCCUUUCAAGCUUUACUUAAAUUCUUUUAUUAAUUUAAUAGGGUUAAGUGAGGGUUUGGUUAAAAGAAAAAGGGUGUGACAUCUCUGGCGACUCUGCUGGGGAAUUGCAGGUUCGAGGUAGUAUUUGAUCUUGUUGGCUUUUAGGAUGUUCGGUUGAGGUUUUUAUGUGUUUUGUUUGCUUUAUUUGAUUUAUAUUUUGUUUGUCUUUUAUUAUUUGCUAGUUGCUUACUUGUUUACAUCACAAGAAGGGUUGCUCUGAUGGUAAGCAACCCCCACUUCCAACCGAGAGAUUGUGAGUUCGAUUUGGGUCCACUCGUAUUUUUCUUUCAUAGUCUUUCAAAAAUAAAAAAAUCAAAAAUCAAAAAUCAAAAAAUAUUUUACACUUUUCCAUCAAUUUCUAAAAUUCAAAAAAUGACAAUACAAAAUAAAAAAAAAUUUACACUUUGCCAUCUUUUUUCCAUAAAUUCACAAAAAGUAGAAAAUGAAAAAUCCAAAAGACUUUACACUUUUUCAUUAUUUUUCAAAAAUUUAAAAAGUAGAAAAUGAAAAUCCAAAAAAGAUUUUAUAUUUUUCCAUUAUUUUUCAAUAAAUAAAAAAAAAGUAGAAAAUGAAAAAAUCAAACACUUUCCAUCAUUUUUUCAAAAAAGACCAAAAAUAAUUUUUAUUACAAAUUAGAUGCAUUUUUUUUCCUUUAUCCUAUGUUUAAUCCUCCCGAACUACGCGAACCUGAUUCUCGUCCUUCGGAGUGAGAUACGUAGGCAACCCACUUAGAGUUAUGAGUCCUAUAUGUUUAAGGCCAUAUAGACCUUUAUGAGGUGUUUCCUUAUUGAGUUUUUCAUUUUCAGUCACUUUUGGUUACGUAAGCCUUUUUGCAAAAAUAGCAUUAAUCAUGCCUUGCAUGUGUCUAAAAGAAGGUGUCAUGGCGUCACAUGUGUCUUGAGUCACUAACUCUAUUUGAUCAUAUUUUUCCCAUUCAGGUAUGGAGCAAUUUGCUAGAGUUUGAGCUCGACAACCC
Molecule: long non-coding RNA, 2625 nt
Filed under: Nicotiana benthamiana
Lineage: Eukaryota; Viridiplantae; Streptophyta; Magnoliopsida; Solanales; Solanaceae
Description: long non-coding RNA (NBEN_LNC022794)
Source: RNAcentral